CAGCUCGUGUCGUGAGAUGUUGGGUUAAGUCCCGCAACGAGCGCAACCCUCGCCUCUAGUUGCCAGCAUUCGGUUGGGCACUCUAGAGGGACUGCCGGCGACAAGUCGGAGGAAGGUGGGGAUGACGUCAAAUCAUCAUGCCCCUUAUGACCUGGGCUACACACGUGCUACAAUGGGCGGUACAAAGGGCUGCGAACCCGCGAGGGGGAGCGAAUCCCAAAAAGCCGCUCUCAGUUCGGAUUGCAGGCUGCAACUCGCCUGCAUGAAGCCGGAAUCGCUAGUAAUCGCGGAUCAGCAUGCCGCGGUGAAUACGUUCCCGGGCCUU
This 325-nucleotide ribosomal RNA is filed under the name uncultured Geobacillus sp. RNAcentral describes it as "bacterial SSU rRNA". It matches the Rfam family "Bacterial small subunit ribosomal RNA", at positions 1056 to 1382 of the family's 1533-position model. Lineage: Bacteria; Bacillati; Bacillota; Bacilli; Caryophanales; Anoxybacillaceae. The record is from RNAcentral.